UUCCUCCUACGGGAGGCAGCAGUGGGGAAUAUUGCACGAUGGGGGAAACCCUGAUGCAGCGACGCCGCGUGAGUGAAGAAGUAUUUCGGUAUGUAAAGCUCUAUCAGCAGGGAAGAAAUAGCGACCUUUGGGUCGCCAGACGGUACCUGAUUAAGAAGCCCCGGCUAACUACGUGCCAGCAGCCGCGGUAAUACGUAGGGGGCAAGCGUUAUCCGGAUUUACUGGGUGUAAAGGGAGCGUAGACGGUUACGCAAGUCUGGAGUGAAAGGCGGGGGCCCAACCCCCGGACUGCUUUGGAAACUGUA
RNAcentral lists this ribosomal RNA (305 nucleotides) under uncultured bacterium. RNAcentral's name for it is "bacterial SSU rRNA". It matches the Rfam family "Bacterial small subunit ribosomal RNA", at positions 333 to 637 of the family's 1533-position model. The record is from RNAcentral.